Non-coding RNA from Macaca mulatta (Rhesus monkey), 333 nucleotides. The record is from RefSeq and is a predicted model, not a curated record. NCBI's taxonomy places the organism in Eukaryota, Metazoa, Chordata, Mammalia, Primates, Cercopithecidae.
ACCGAUUCUCCUGCCUCAGCCUCCUGAGUAGCUGGGAUUACAGGCAACAACUGGAAACAACCCAAGUAUCCGUCAGCUAGAGAAUGGAUAGACCCAUGUGGUCUGUGCAUACAGCGGAGUGCUGCUCAGUUAUACAAAGAAAAGAAACUAUGGAUACAGGCCACAGGAGGGAUGAACUUCAAAACAUUACAUCCCUGUUGACCAGGUGCUGUGGUAGGUACGGCCAUUAGAGAAAUGAGAAGCAGACGCCAUCUCCAUUGUGAUGAGACUCACCCCAUCAGCCGUUUCUGAACACUCAGACAGUUUCACCUUUGUCACCCAGGCUGGAGUGCA